UGCCAGCCGCCGCGGUAAUACGGAGGGUGCAAGCGUUAAUCGGAAUUACUGGGCGUAAAGCGUGCGUAGGCGGCUACUUAAGUGGGAUGUGAAAGCCCCGGGCUCAACCUGGGAACUGCACCCCAAACUGGGUAGCUAGAGUACAGCAGAGGAGUGUGGAAUUUCCUGUGUAGCGGUGAAAUGCGUAGAUAUAGGAAGGAACACCAGUGGCGAAGGCGACACUCUGGGCUGAUACUGACGCUGAGGUACGAAAGCGUGGGGAGCAAACAGGAUUAGAUA
Molecule: ribosomal RNA, 279 nt
Filed under: uncultured bacterium
Lineage: Bacteria
Description: partial 16S ribosomal RNA
Rfam family: Bacterial small subunit ribosomal RNA
Source: RNAcentral